GUUUGAUCCUGGGUCAGGACGAACGCUGGCGGCAUGCCUAAUACAUGCAAGUCGAACGCCAAAUCUUCCUGCUUGCAGGAAGAGGCGGAGUGGCGAACGGGUGAGUAACACGUGAGGAACUUGCCCAUAAGAGGGGGAUAACACCCGGAAACGGGUGCUAAUACCGCAUAAGUUUUCCCAGCGCAUGCUGGGGAAAUGAAAGGUGGCUCUGCUACCGCUUAUGGAUAGCCUCGCGGCGCAUUAGCUAGUUGGUAGGGUAAAGGCCUACCAAGGCCAUGAUGCGUAGCCGACUUGAGAGGGUGAUCGGCCACACUGGAACUGAGACACGGUCCAGACUCCUACGGGAGGCAGCAGUAGGGAAUCUUCCACAAUGGGUGCAAGCCUGAUGGAGCAAUGCCGCGUGAGUGAAGAAGGACUUCGGUUCGUAAAGCCCUGUUGUUGGGGAAGAACACGGAUAGGAGUCACUGCCUAUCCCUUGACGGUACCCAACCAGAAAGUCACGGCUAACUACGUGCCAGCAGCCGCGGUAAUACGUAGGUGACAAGCGUUGUCCGGAUUUAUUGGGCGUAAAGCGAGCGCAGGCGGUCCGGUAAGUCUGAUGUGAAAGCCCACGGCUCAACCGUGGAACGGCAUUGGAAACUGGCGGACUUGAAUGUAGCAGAGGAAAGUGGAAUUCCAUGUGUAGCGGUGGAAUGCGUAGAUAUAUGGCAGGAACACCAGUGGCGAAUGCGACUUUCUGGGCUAUGAUUGACGCUGAGGCUCGAAAGCGUGGGGAGCGAACAGGAUUCGAU
RNAcentral lists this ribosomal RNA (791 nucleotides) under uncultured Alloiococcus sp. RNAcentral describes it as "bacterial SSU rRNA". It matches the Rfam family "Bacterial small subunit ribosomal RNA", at positions 11 to 783 of the family's 1533-position model. The record is from RNAcentral. Lineage: Bacteria; Bacillati; Bacillota; Bacilli; Lactobacillales; Carnobacteriaceae.